Molecule: long non-coding RNA, 756 nt
Filed under: Pan troglodytes (chimpanzee)
Lineage: Eukaryota; Metazoa; Chordata; Mammalia; Primates; Hominidae
Description: lincRNA
Source: RNAcentral
GUGGAUGCAGCGCCGGACGCCACAACCGAAAAACAGAAUCUUGGAACUGGUUUAGUACAAUCCAGCCAACGAGUGGAUAAAGAAAAUGUGAUAUAUAUGCACUAUGGAAUACUAAGCCAUAAGAAGGAAUGAAAUAAUGGCAUUUGCAGCAACCUAGAUGGAGUUGGAGACCAUUAUUCUAAGUGAAGUAACUCAAGAAUGGAAAACCAAAUAUUGUAUGUUCUCACUCGUAAGUGGGAGCUAAGCUGUGAAGAUGCAAAGGCAUAAGAAUGAUAUAGUGGACUUUGAGGACUCAAGGGGUGAAGGAUGAGACUACACAUUGGGUACAGUGUGCACUGCUUGGGUGAUGAGUGCACCAAAAUCUCAGAACUCACCACUGAAGAACUUCCCCAUGUAACCAAAAACCACCUGUUCCACAAAAACUAUCGAAAUAACAUUUUUAAAACUUUACUAUUUCUGAAUAAAAUUUACAUACAUUUCUCAGAAAAAAAAAUAUUUGGAAUUGAGGUAUCUAAUAGAGAACUGAGUUAAAUUAUUGCCACUUAAAAACACAAAGUGAUAUAGCCACUUUAUGAAUUAAUCAGUCAGCAAUGGCUAGGUUAUGCUUAGUGGUUUAUAACCAAAUCUUAGUUUAUAACAACAAAUGUGUAUUGUUAAUUCCCACUACAAAUUUAUAACGACAUUGCUGGAUGCUACACUCCAUGUCUCUUUGUGGGACCCAGGCUCAUGGGACUUCUGUUAUCUGCAUUAGAGAGA